This 778-nucleotide ribosomal RNA is filed under the name uncultured bacterium. RNAcentral's name for it is "bacterial SSU rRNA". It matches the Rfam family "Bacterial small subunit ribosomal RNA", at positions 8 to 778 of the family's 1533-position model. The record is from RNAcentral.
AGAGUUUGAUCCUGGCUCAGAAUGAACGCUGGCGGCGUGCCUAACACAUGCAAGUCGGAUGUGCCCGCAAGGGUGCAUGGCAGACGGGUGAGUAACGCGUGGGGAAUCUACCUCUUUGUGGGGAAUAACGCUCCGAAAGGAGUGGUAAUACCGCAUGAGACCAAUGGCUGGAAUGUUGUUGGUGAAACCUGGGGACCGCAAGGCCUGGGGCAAGGAGAGGAUCCUGCGUCUGAUUAGCUAGUUGGCGGGGUAAUGGCCCAUCAAGGCGACGAUCAGUAGCCGGCCUGAGAGGGUGAUCGGCCACACUGGAACUGAGACACGGUCCAGACUCCUACGGGAGGCAGCAGUGGGGAAUUUUGCGCAAUGGGCGAAAGCCUGACGCAGCAACGCCGCGUGGGUGAUGAAGGUCUUCGGAUCGUAAAACCCUGUCGUCGGGGACGAAGGUAGCUUAGUGAACAGCUGAGUUGCUUGACGGUACCCGGAGAGGAAGCCCCGGCUAACUCUGUGCCAGCAGCCGCGGUAAUACAGAGGGGGCAAGCGUUAUUCGGAAUUAUUGGGCGUAAAGGGCGCGUAGGCGGUUUUUUAAGUCAGAUGUGUAAUCCCCGAGCUCAACUUGGGAACUGCAUCUGAGACUGGAAGGCUAGAGUACUGGAGAGGGUGGUAGAAUUCCACGUGUAGCGGUGAAAUGCGUAGAUAUUAGGAGGAACACCGGUGGCGAAGGCGGCUACCUGGACCGAUAUUGACGCUGAGACGCGAAAGCGUGGGGAGCAAACAGGAU